This 472-nucleotide ribosomal RNA is filed under the name uncultured bacterium. RNAcentral's name for it is "partial 16S ribosomal RNA". It matches the Rfam family "Bacterial small subunit ribosomal RNA", at positions 28 to 507 of the family's 1533-position model. The record is from RNAcentral.
GACGAACGCUGGCGGCGUGCUUAACACAUGCAAGUCGAACGCUGAAGCUUGGUGCUUGCACUGGGUGGAUGAGUGGCGAACGGGUGAGUAAUACGUGAGUAACCUGCCCUUGACUCUGGGAUAAGCCUGGGAAACUGGGUCUAAUACUGGAUACGACAUGCCACUGCAUGGUGGUGUGUGGAAAGGGUUUUACUGGUUUUGGAUGGGCUCACGGCCUAUCAGCUUGUUGGUGGGGCAAUGGCCUACCAAGGCGACGACGGGUAGCCGGCCUGAGAGGGUGACCGGCCACACUGGGACUGAGACACGGCCCAGACUCCUACGGGAGGCAGCAGUGGGGAAUAUUGCACAAUGGGCGGAAGCCUGAUGCAGCGACGCCGCGUGAGGGAUGACGGCCUUCGGGUUGUAAACCUCUUUCAGCACGGAAGAAGCGAGAGUGACGGUACGUGCAGAAGAAGCGCCGGCUAACUACGUG